Molecule: long non-coding RNA, 274 nt
Organism: Olea europaea var. sylvestris
Lineage: Eukaryota; Viridiplantae; Streptophyta; Magnoliopsida; Lamiales; Oleaceae
Exons: 3
Source: RefSeq, a predicted model, not a curated record
UUUACGGAUCAAAGGUGGUGGAGAAGGGGCUAGAGAGAGUCAACAUUCUUGAUUGAAGGGUUGGGGUUUAUGAAAUUGACCUCCUAGUGUAUGUUCAUGCAAAGGAUGUCAAAAUCUUCCGCAUUCAUAAUAUCCUUUGUAUAUCUCCAAUCUCAUUUGCAAGGGAUGUUCACAAGGUUAUCAGACUUUUAGAAGCUGGGAUAAAGUGACAAAAGCAACAUGAUGUUGACGAUGAAUAACUUCUUAAGACUUAUGGGAGCACCUGUGACUGAGG